RNAcentral lists this ribosomal RNA (497 nucleotides) under uncultured soil bacterium. RNAcentral's name for it is "bacterial SSU rRNA". It matches the Rfam family "Bacterial small subunit ribosomal RNA", at positions 26 to 515 of the family's 1533-position model. The record is from RNAcentral.
AGAUUGAACGCUGGCGGCAUGCCUUACACAUGCAAGUCGAACGGCAGCACGGGGGCAACCCUGGUGGCGAGUGGCGAACGGGUGAGUAAUGCAUCGGAACGUGCCCAGUAGUGGGGGGAUAACUAGUCGAAAGAUUAGCUAAUACCGCAUACGACCUACGGGUGAAAGCGGGGGAUUCGCAAGAACCUCGCGCUAUCGGAGCGGCCGAUGUCUGAUUAGCUAGUUGGCGGGUAAAAGCCCACCAAGGCUUCGAUCAGUAGCUGGUCUGAGAGGACGACCAGCCACACUGGGACUGAGACACGGCCCAGACUCCUACGGGAGGCAGCAGUGGGGAAUUUUGGACAAUGGGCGCAAGCCUGAUCCAGCCAUGCCGCGUGCGGGAAGAAGGCCUUCGGUUGUAAACCGCUUUUGGCAGGAACGAACGGCGCGAGCAAAUAUCUCGCGUUAAUGACCGGUACCUGCAAGAAUAACGCAACCGGCUAACACGUGCCAGCACG